CCUACGGGUGGCAGCAGUGAGGAAUAUUGGUCAAUGGGCGCUAGCCUGAACCAGCCAAGUAGCGUGAAGGAUGACUGCCCUAUGGGUUGUAAACUUCUUUUAUAUGGGAAUAAAGUGCAGUAUGUAUACUGCUUUUCAUGUAUCUUAUGAAUAAAGAUCGGCUAACUCCGUGCCAGCAGCCGCGGUAAUACGGAGGAUCCGAGCGUUAUCCGGAUUUAUUGGGUUUAAGGGGAGCGUAGGCGGGUUGUUAAGUCAGUUGUGAAAGUUUGCGGCUCAACCGUAAAAUUGCAGUUGAUACUGGCAGCCUUGAGUACAGUAGAGGUAGGCGGAAUUCGUGGUGUAGCGGUGAAAUGCUUAGAUAUCACGAAGAACUCCGAUUGCGAAGGCAGCCUGCUGGACUGUAACUGACGCUGAUGCUCGAAAGUGUGGGUAUCAAACAGGAUUAGAUACCCGGGUAGUC
Molecule: ribosomal RNA, 460 nt
Filed under: uncultured bacterium
Lineage: Bacteria
Description: partial 16S ribosomal RNA
Rfam family: Bacterial small subunit ribosomal RNA
Source: RNAcentral